This is a long non-coding RNA of Mercurialis annua (annual mercury), 693 nucleotides long. RefSeq lists it as uncharacterized. NCBI's taxonomy places the organism in Eukaryota, Viridiplantae, Streptophyta, Magnoliopsida, Malpighiales, Euphorbiaceae. The transcript is spliced from 3 exons. The record is from RefSeq and is a predicted model, not a curated record.
GUUUAUCACUAUAAAUACUUAUUAAGCAAUUGGUUUGAGAAUCACGAAAUUCAUUAUUCACUAAAUCACUAAAAUUCGGAAUUGCUUGUGAAGCAAUAGUGCUAGCACACAAGCACUAGUUUUGGCUAAGGUCUGUUCGUGUGGAUACUCGUAGAGGACGCGUUCUUUUGGAGGCGUUUCUGAUCCGAGGCCAGGUAUCACCAAAGUGAACCACCUCCUUCCUUCCUACAUUGCUGUUGAAUUCGACAUACAAACGCAUCGAUGGACUUCGAAAGUGACAUGUUUGGCUUAGUGGGGUUCGGCCAUUAUUUUGAUAUCAUGAAUUGGAUAGCGAAUUUGUAUUUUCUUUCAGGUUUAUUAUGUGGUGAUGUGGUCGAGCUUCCAUCCACUGUUCUGGAAGUCUCAGUUAUGAAAGUUUCUACCCUUCUUAGAGCUGCAGUAGUUAUGUUAGUAGAUUAAUUCGAUAGUUGACUUGACAGUUUAUGUUUUUCAUGUGCUGUGGCAUAAAGAUGUAUUUUUGGAAAAUGGUUUAUCCACAUAUUUUGUAUAUGAUUACAUGAUAUUUUGCACAAGGUGGUUUGUGUUUUUAACAGGUGCAAGUAGCACAGUUUUCAAACGUUAUAUUGCCGAUUUUUUUUAAAAUUUAAGAUUGUUGUUUUGCGAAAAAUUUAUAGUGAAUUUCAGGCUUGCUAC